AUUUUUGGAUAAUCGCGUGGCAUUGCCAUGAGGAAAGUCCAUGCUAGCACUAGCUGUGAUGCUGGUAGUGUUUGUGCUAGGCGAAUGCAUAAGCCUAGGGAGGUAGCGUGCUACCUUACGGCGACUGAAAGGGCUAAGUCUUUGGAUAUGCUCAAAUAAGUCUGAAAGUGCCACAGUGACGAAGUUUUCAGGGAAAUCUGAAAAGUGGAACGCGGUAAACCCCUCAAGCUAGCAACCCAAACUUUGGUAGGGGCAUGGGAAAGCUGGAAACGAACGGUCUUUCCUGACUGUAUAUUAUACAGUAGACAGAUGAUUAUCGAAGGCGGUAGUGCCUAGUACCGCUGGAACAAAACAUGGCUUAUAGAA
This 366-nucleotide RNase P RNA is filed under the name Streptococcus sp. X16XC17. RNAcentral's name for it is "Bacterial RNase P class B". It matches the Rfam family "Bacterial RNase P class B". Rfam says of the family: Ribonuclease P (RNase P) is a ubiquitous endoribonuclease, found in archaea, bacteria and eukarya as well as chloroplasts and mitochondria. Its best characterised activity is the generation of mature 5'-ends of tRNAs by cleaving the 5'-leader elements of precursor-tRNAs. The record is from Rfam by way of RNAcentral. Lineage: Bacteria; Bacillati; Bacillota; Bacilli; Lactobacillales; Streptococcaceae.